This 397-nucleotide ribosomal RNA is filed under the name uncultured archaeon. RNAcentral's name for it is "bacterial SSU rRNA". It matches the Rfam family "Archaeal small subunit ribosomal RNA", at positions 474 to 871 of the family's 1478-position model. The record is from RNAcentral.
UACCAGCUCUCCGAGUGGUGUGGAUGUUUAUUGGGCCUAAAGCAUCCGUAGCUGGCCAAGCCAGUCCCCUGUUAAACCCAACGAAUUAAUCGUUGGAUUGCGGGGGAUACUGCUCGGCUAGGGGACGAGAGAGGCCGACGGUAUUCUCGGGGUAGGGGUGAAAUCCUAUAAUCCCGGGAAGACCACCAGUGGCGAAGGCUGUCGGCUAGAACGAGCCCGACGGUGAGGGAUGAAAGCUGGGGGAGCGAACCGGAUUAGAUACCCGGGUAGUCCCAGCUGUAAACGAUGCAGGCUAGGUGUUUGGACGGCCACGCGCCGUUCUAGUGCCGCAGGGAAGCUGUUAAGCCUGCCGCCUGGGGAGUACGAUCGCAAGAUUGAAACUCAAAUGAAUUGACGG